RNAcentral lists this small nuclear RNA (107 nucleotides) under Sciurus vulgaris (Eurasian red squirrel). Lineage: Eukaryota; Metazoa; Chordata; Mammalia; Rodentia; Sciuridae. The record is from RNAcentral.
GUACUCGCUUCUGCAGCACAUAUACUGAAAUUGGAAUGAUAUAGAGAAAAUCAGCAUGGACCCUGUGCAAGGAUGACAUGCAAAUUCAUGAAGCAUUCCUUAUUUUU